RNAcentral lists this ribosomal RNA (500 nucleotides) under uncultured bacterium. RNAcentral describes it as "partial 16S ribosomal RNA". It matches the Rfam family "Bacterial small subunit ribosomal RNA", at positions 28 to 523 of the family's 1533-position model. The record is from RNAcentral.
GUUGAACGCUGGCGGCAUGCUUUACACAUGCAAGUCGAACGGCAGCACGGACUUCGGUCUGGUGGCGAGUGGCGAACGGGUGAGUAAUACAUCGGAACGUACCCAGUAAUGGGGGAUAACUAGUCGAAAGAUUAGCUAAUACCGCAUACGCCCUACGGGGGAAAGAGGGGGAUCGCAAGACCUCUUGUUAUUGGAGCGGCCGAUGGCUGAUUAGCUAGUUGGUGGGGUAAAGGCCUACCAAGGCGACGAUCAGUAGCGGGUCUUAGAGGACGUUCCGCCACACUGGAAGUGAGACACGGUCGGGACACCUACGGGAGGGAGCAGUGGGGAAUCUUGGACAAGGGUCGAAAGCCUGUUCCAGCAAUGCCGCGUGCGUGAAGAAGGCCUUCGGGUUGUAAAGCGCUUUUGUCUGGGAGCAAAUCCGUGUGGCUAAUACCCACCGGGGAUGAGAGUACCAGAAGAAUAAGGACCGGCUAACUACGUGCCAGCCGCCGCCGUAA